Peromyscus leucopus (white-footed mouse) is the source of this 904-nucleotide long non-coding RNA. RefSeq lists it as uncharacterized. The transcript is spliced from 7 exons. Lineage: Eukaryota; Metazoa; Chordata; Mammalia; Rodentia; Cricetidae. The record is from RefSeq and is a predicted model, not a curated record.
CCAGAAAGCAGGGAGGCUUGCUGCCCUGAGAGAGAGAGAGAUUAAAGACACUCUGGAGUGCCCAGCUGAGGGAGCUGGGAGGCCAGGAGCUGAGUCAGACCAGGAGAGGGGAGGGAAGGGAUUGGUGUGUAGUCCUGUGCCCAGCCUCAGAGCCUGACCCUGCUGCAUGCCAGGGUGAGAAGACUCCAUAACAGCCACACAGUGAGAGGGGUGGCCGAGGGUGUGGAGAGGCCCCUGUGCAGGCAACGAGUGUGCAUUGGUGACCACAGCUGGUAGUUAGCCUCUCCGGAAGCCUAACGGCCAGUCUCAAGACGACCAAGAGGACCGGCAUGCUCUCAGGGGUGGGACCCGGGGUCUCAUGCAUGGAGCUACACUGCAGCCCGUAACACCUGAAGUUGGAUGACUGUGCCAUCCGUGUGCCUACAAGGUGACAACGCCCCCGGAUGGAACAGAGAAUGUCACGAAAAAGCAGCAAUGUCCAGUGUGAAGAGAGGUCACAGGAACUGAAAGUCAAAAGAACCAGACUGAAGCGGAGUCACUGAGGCCCACAGCUGGUCGUCUUGGCUUAUGCCACAGGCUGAUGAGACUGGGCCAUGACACCAUGACACCAUGGUUGACUCUCCCACACUGCGUUUGAACUCAGGCCGGACUCGGGGGCGGGGCUUGCUCCUAACGGACAUAAGAAUCUUGUGACUACUGGGAAAAUCUAUUUCAUUAGGGCCCACUGUGUCUACCAAGCGCAUCUUCCAGAUACGAGGCGUGGCAAACACUGAGAAAGGCAAACACCCCAGCCAGGAAGUGUUCUCACAGACCUCAGUUGUUGUAUGGUACAUUCAAGUCCAGCCUGGGAUUUGGGAGACACUGCCUCGGGAUGAGGAGGAGGAGGAAGAGGAGGAGGAGAAGG